GGCUGGUGUGAAGAUUGUGAGUCAUCUCAAUUGAUUGUUCACAGUCAGUUACAAAUUGAACUCUUUGUUCUGUUCUUUUCCUCCUUCUCACUACUACCCUUAUCUAGUCUUUU
RNAcentral lists this Y RNA (113 nucleotides) under Carlito syrichta (Philippine tarsier). RNAcentral describes it as "Y RNA (ENSTSYG00000031076.1)". It matches the Rfam family "Y RNA". Rfam says of the family: Y RNAs are components of the Ro ribonucleoprotein particle (Ro RNP), in association with Ro60 and La proteins. The Y RNAs and Ro60 and La proteins are well conserved, but the function of the Ro RNP is not known. In humans the RNA component can be one of four small RNAs -- hY1, hY3, hY4 and hY5. The record is from Rfam by way of RNAcentral. Lineage: Eukaryota; Metazoa; Chordata; Mammalia; Primates; Tarsiidae.